This 483-nucleotide ribosomal RNA is filed under the name Lasiodiplodia pseudotheobromae. RNAcentral describes it as "eukaryotic LSU rRNA". The stretch from base 140 to 293 matches the Rfam family "5.8S ribosomal RNA". The record is from RNAcentral. Lineage: Eukaryota; Fungi; Ascomycota; Dothideomycetes; Botryosphaeriales; Botryosphaeriaceae.
UUACCGAGUUUUCGGGCUUGGCUCGACUCUCCCACCCUUUGUGAACGUACCUCUGUUGCUUUGGCGGCUCCGGCCGCCAAAGGACCUCCAAACUCCAGUCAGUAAACGCAGACGUCUGAUAAACAAGUUAAUAAACUAAAACUUUCAACAACGGAUCUCUUGGUUCUGGCAUCGAUGAAGAACGCAGCGAAAUGCGAUAAGUAAUGUGAAUUGCAGAAUUCAGUGAAUCAUCGAAUCUUUGAACGCACAUUGCGCCCCUUGGUAUUCCGGGGGGCAUGCCUGUUCGAGCGUCAUUACAACCCUCAAGCUCUGCUUGGAAUUGGGCACCGUCCUCACUGCGGACGCGCCUCAAAGACCUCGGCGGUGGCUGUUCAGCCCUCAAGCGUAGUAGAAUACACCUCGCUUUGGAGUGGUUGGCGUCGCCCGCCGGACGAACCUUCUGAACUUUUCUCAAGGUUGACCUCGGAUCAGGUAGGGAUACCC